UUAAGCGACUAAGCGUACACGGUGGAUGCCCUGGCAGUCAGAGGCGAUGAAGGACGUGCUAAUCUGCGAUAAGCGUCGGUAAGGUGAUAUGAACCGUUAUAACCGGCGAUUUCCGAAUGGGGAAACCCAGUGUGAUUCGUCACACUAUCAUUAACUGAAUCCAUAGGUUAAUGAGGCGAACCGGGGGAACUGAAACAUCUAAGUACCCCGAGGAAAAGAAAUCAACCGAGAUUCCCCCAGUAGCGGCGAGCGAACGGGGAGCAGCCCAGAGCCUGAAUCAGUGUGUGUGUUAGUGGAAGCGUCUGGAAAGGCGCGCGAUACAGGGUGACAGCCCCGUACACAAAAAUGCACAUGCUGUGAGCUCGAUGAGUAGGGCGGGACACGUGGUAUCCUGUCUGAAUAUGGGGGGACCAUCCUCCAAGGCUAAAUACUCCUGACUGACCGAUAGUGAACCAGUACCGUGAGGGAAAGGCGAAAAGAACCCCGGCGAGGGGAGUGAAAAAGAACCUGAAACCGUGUACGUACAAGCAGUGGGAGCACGCUUAGGCGUGUGACUGCGUACCUUUUGUAUAAUGGGUCAGCGACUUAUAUUCUGUAGCAAGGUUAACCGAAUAGGGGAGCCGAAGGGAAACCGAGUCUUAACUGGGCGUUAAGUUGCAGGGUAUAGACCCGAAACCCGGUGAUCUAGCCAUGGGCAGGUUGAAGGUUGGGUAACACUAACUGGAGGACCGAACCGACUAAUGUUGAAAAAUUAGCGGAUGACUUGUGGCUGGGGGUGAAAGGCCAAUCAAACCGGGAGAUAGCUGGUUCUCCCCGAAAGCUAUUUAGGUAGCGCCUCGUGAAUUCAUCUCCGGGGGUAGAGCACUGUUUCGGCAAGGGGGUCAUCCCGACUUACCAACCCGAUGCAAACUGCGAAUACCGGAGAAUGUUAUCACGGGAGACACACGGCGGGUGCUAACGUCCGUCGUGAAGAGGGAAACAACCCAGACCGCCAGCUAAGGUCCCAAAGUCAUGGUUAAGUGGGAAACGAUGUGGGAAGGCCCAGACAGCCAGGAUGUUGGCUUAGAAGCAGCCAUCAUUUAAAGAAAGCGUAAUAGCUCACUGGUCGAGUCGGCCUGCGCGGAAGAUGUAACGGGGCUAAACCAUGCACCGAAGCUGCGGCAGCGACGCUUAUGCGUUGUUGGGUAGGGGAGCGUUCUGUAAGCCUGUGAAGGUGUGCUGUGAGGCAUGCUGGAGGUAUCAGAAGUGCGAAUGCUGACAUAAGUAACGAUAAAGCGGGUGAAAAGCCCGCUCGCCGGAAGACCAAGGGUUCCUGUCCAACGUUAAUCGGGGCAGGGUGAGUCGACCCCUAAGGCGAGGCCGAAAGGCGUAGUCGAUGGGAAACAGGUUAAUAUUCCUGUACUUGGUGUUACUGCGAAGGGGGGACGGAGAAGGCUAUGUUGGCCGGGCGACGGUUGUCCCGGUUUAAGCGUGUAGGCUGGUUUUCCAGGCAAAUCCGGAAAAUCAAGGCUGAGGCGUGAUGACGAGGCACUACGGUGCUGAAGCAACAAAUGCCCUGCUUCCAGGAAAAGCCUCUAAGCAUCAGGUAACAUCAAAUCGUACCCCAAACCGACACAGGUGGUCAGGUAGAGAAUACCAAGGCGCUUGAGAGAACUCGGGUGAAGGAACUAGGCAAAAUGGUGCCGUAACUUCGGGAGAAGGCACGCUGAUAUGUAGGUGAAGCGACUUGCUCGUGGAGCUGAAAUCAGUCGAAGAUACCAGCUGGCUGCAACUGUUUAUUAAAAACACAGCACUGUGCAAACACGAAAGUGGACGUAUACGGUGUGACGCCUGCCCGGUGCCGGAAGGUUAAUUGAUGGGGUUAGCGCAAGCGAAGCUCUUGAUCGAAGCCCCGGUAAACGGCGGCCGUAACUAUAACGGUCCUAAGGUAGCGAAAUUCCUUGUCGGGUAAGUUCCGACCUGCACGAAUGGCGUAAUGAUGGCCAGGCUGUCUCCACCCGAGACUCAGUGAAAUUGAACUCGCUGUGAAGAUGCAGUGUACCCGCGGCAAGACGGAAAGACCCCGUGAACCUUUACUAUAGCUUGACACUGAACAUUGAGCCUUGAUGUGUAGGAUAGGUGGGAGGCUUAGAAGUGUGGACGCCAGUCUGCAUGGAGCCGACCUUGAAAUACCACCCUUUAAUGUUUGAUGUUCUAACGUUGACCCGUAAUCCGGGUUGCGGACAGUGUCUGGUGGGUAGUUUGACUGGGGCGGUCUCCUCCUAAAGAGUAACGGAGGAGCACGAAGGUUGGCUAAUCCUGGUCGGACAUCAGGAGGUUAGUGCAAUGGCAUAAGCCAGCUUGACUGCGAGCGUGACGGCGCGAGCAGGUGCGAAAGCAGGUCAUAGUGAUCCGGUGGUUCUGAAUGGAAGGGCCAUCGCUCAACGGAUAAAAGGUACUCCGGGGAUAACAGGCUGAUACCGCCCAAGAGUUCAUAUCGACGGCGGUGUUUGGCACCUCGAUGUCGGCUCAUCACAUCCUGGGGCUGAAGUAGGUCCCAAGGGUAUGGCUGUUCGCCAUUUAAAGUGGUACGCGAGCUGGGUUUAGAACGUCGUGAGACAGUUCGGUCCCUAUCUGCCGUGGGCGCUGGAGAACUGAGGGGGGCUGCUCCUAGUACGAGAGGACCGGAGUGGACGCAUCACUGGUGUUCGGGUUGUCAUGCCAAUGGCACUGCCCGGUAGCUAAAUGCGGAAGAGAUAAGUGCUGAAAGCAUCUAAGCACGAAACUUGCCCCGAGAUGAGUUCUCCCUGACUCCUUGAGAGUCCUGAAGGAACGUUGAAGACGACGACGUUGAUAGGCCGGGUGUGUAAGCGCAGCGAUGCGUUGAGCUAACCGGUACUAAUGAACCGUGAGGCUUAACCUU
RNAcentral lists this ribosomal RNA (2902 nucleotides) under metagenome. RNAcentral's name for it is "bacterial LSU rRNA". It matches the Rfam family "Bacterial large subunit ribosomal RNA". The record is from RNAcentral.